This 468-nucleotide ribosomal RNA is filed under the name uncultured bacterium. Its description in RNAcentral is "partial 16S ribosomal RNA". It matches the Rfam family "Bacterial small subunit ribosomal RNA", at positions 28 to 507 of the family's 1533-position model. The record is from RNAcentral.
GACGAACGCUGGCGGCGUGCUUAACACAUGCAAGUCGAACGGAAAGGCCCUGCUUUUGUGGGGUGCUCGAGUGGCGAACGGGUGAGUAACACGUGAGUAACCUGCCCUUGACCUUGGGAUAACUUCAGGAAACUGGGGCUAAUACCGGAUAGGAGCUCCUGCUGCAUGGUGGGGGUUGGAAAGUUUCGGCGGUUGGGGAUGGACUCGCGGCUUAUCAGCUUGUUGGUGGGGUAGUGGCUUACCAAGGCUUUGACGGGUAGCCGGCCUGAGAGGGUGACCGGCCACAUUGGGACUGAGAUACGGCCCAGACUCCUACGGGAGGCAGCAGUGGGGAAUAUUGCACAAUGGGCGGAAGCCUGAUGCAGCAACGCCGCGUGCGGGGUGACGGCCUUCGGGUUGUAAACCGCUUUCGCCUGUGACGAAGCGUGAGUGACGGUAAUGGGUAAAGAAGCACCGGCUAACUACGUG